GUGGGUGUUGUAAUCAGUCUUCCAAACUGAUUACGCGGGUUCGAUUCCCGUCGCCCGCUCCA
RNAcentral lists this transfer RNA (62 nucleotides) under Bifidobacterium crudilactis. RNAcentral describes it as "tRNA-OTHER". It matches the Rfam family "tRNA". From Rfam's summary of the family: Transfer RNA (tRNA) molecules are approximately 80 nucleotides in length. Their secondary structure includes four short double-helical elements and three loops (D, anti-codon, and T loops). Lineage: Bacteria; Bacillati; Actinomycetota; Actinomycetes; Bifidobacteriales; Bifidobacteriaceae. The record is from RNAcentral. RNAcentral also lists the same sequence under 1 other name.